AGCUGUUAUCUGAGGCUACAGCAGAAGUGCUCACGACAUGGCCCUGUCAGAGUCCAGUGAAUCUGUGAAUUCUGCU
RNAcentral lists this ribozyme (76 nucleotides) under Crocodylus porosus (Australian saltwater crocodile). Its description in RNAcentral is "Mammalian CPEB3 ribozyme (ENSCPRG00005003603.1)". It matches the Rfam family "Mammalian CPEB3 ribozyme". Rfam says of the family: The mammalian CPEB3 ribozyme is a self cleaving RNA located in the second intron of the CPEB3 gene which belongs to a family of genes regulating messenger RNA polyadenylation. Lineage: Eukaryota; Metazoa; Chordata; Crocodylia; Crocodylidae. The record is from Rfam by way of RNAcentral.